GGCAGCCCCGCCACCCUCCCGCCCCAAGCCUGCAGGUGACCUGUGCUCACCUGGGCACUGUGGCGGCAGGUGGUCUGGCCAGUCCCACCUGUGCUGGGAGGCAGCCACGGUGCAACUAGGAGGUUCGUGGUUUGGACUCCCUCUUCCUUUGGGAAUCAGCGCAUCCUGUGCAGCCAGAGAGGGUCUCUGCGCUCAGGGACUCAGAGCGUCAAGGUAGGAACAGAGUCUGGUAGCGCACCUGCGGGGACACGAGGAUAUGGAGGGCACCAGGGAGACAUGAUGGGGAGACAGGCGGGGUCCCCGAGACACGGCAGCCUGAGUGCAGGGGCGACAGGAGGACAGAGGGCAGCUGCGGCUCAGGCGUGUGGGCUCUGCCCCAGGACCCCUCCCCACAGACAGUCACAGGACACAGGCCCAGGGAGGAAGGAGAAAGCCACUCACUGCGCGGGUCCCCUGGGCACUCAGGGCGCAGAGUGGGAGGCUGGCCUUCAGCUUUCUCUCCUCCUCCUCCUUUUCAAUGUGGUAAAACGCACCGUUUUAACCAUCUUUUGAUGGGCAAUUAGGUUUGUUUGUGUUUAUUUAUUUGUUUCACCGGUACUGGGGUGGAACCCGGGACCUCGUGCAUGCUAGGCUUGCCCUCUACCCCUCAGCUCUACCCGCCCCCUCGUUUUAACCAUCUUCAGCGAACAGCGCAGGGGCACCGAGUACACACUCACUGUGGUGUAACUGUCCCCACCGGCCCCAGAAUACUCACUGCUUCUAUUUCUUCCUGUCCUGUCCUGCCUCCUUUCUAGGCACCCACGUGAUCUUAGGGUUUGGGUAGACUGUAUUGUGGGAUGUCCUGCGUACGGUUCUUGGCAAUCCUUCGUUUUGAAACCUUACCCCCAAAGCCCACGGUGAAGCCACUGUCCGUUGCUUUUCCCUUGCGUCUGGUCCUUGGUUGACUCUUUUUCUCCCCAGGGAGAAGGACCAGCCCCUCCCCAAAUGUAAAUUCAGCUGCUGGAAGCGGACCUGUGUCCGCUGUACCCCCUCCCUGUGCUCUCUCAGAAACACGCUCCCAUGCAGAUGGCACGUCCUCCUGGACCCGCGCAGGACCCUGCACGUGUUUACGGGCAGACAGGCGGUGGGCCGAUACCCAUGGGGCGGUUCCCUCCCUCCUACUCGCUGACGGCCCCAGCGAGGGAGACCAGCAAGGAGCUCCGGGACUGACUUGCAGACGCAUCCCAGCGUGCGCUGAGAACCACUGGGCUUCACGCUGGCCAGGCCGCUGGGGGAUUGUUUUCCAAAUGACAAGUGAGUUGUUCUGACACCGCUUCCAGUGUAAUCCAUUGUAAUAACUGAAUGACCUGGUUUUGUUUGUAAAUUUCCCCCUCAGGUCUGCUGAUCCAGCUGUUUCCACAUGAGCACCAUCUAGUUUAUUGUUACAGGUUUAAUAUAUGAUCAAAAUGUGAUUCUUCAUUUAAGACUUCGAUGGAAUUCAAAUCUAGAUUCACAAGAGCAUCCCAUUGGGAUUCUGAGUGGGAUUACAUGAAACAUUUAGUUUAAUUUGGAAUGUUUCUGUUUUUGCAAGAUUAAGUUUUUUUCAUUUAGGACUGUGGAGUGUGUCUCUUCAUUUAUUCAAAUCUUCUUAAGGCUUGAAUUUGUUAAAGACUCUGCUCAUUGAUCAAAUAGACGUGACUUUCUCCAUCAGUGAGAAGACUGACAGUCUUAAGAAUAACUUAGUAAGGUAUGGUGAGCGUCCAAAGGGGAGUGUUCAGAUGUCCACAGAACUGUGCAGGUGGGUGGCGGGUCCCUAGCGUGACCACAGACACAUCACCGCACACGCGCUUACACCCCUCGCUGCUGUUCCCCGGCCUGUCCUGCUCCAGCACCUGGAGACGCCCUCACUCCCAGUCCUCUUCCCCGCUCCUGUGCAGCCCAGGGGGAUUCUUGUCCUUUAAAGACCCCCACGUUCCCCCACGGUGCUCCCCCCACUUCCCUGCACCCAGUUCCCCUCCCUUGGGUCAUUUCUGUGCUGGCUGCACCCCACCCCUGCACCGUGUGCUCCUGGGGUCCGGCUGUGCACGGGGGUCUUCCCUGGGCGGACCCCCUGCAGUCUGGGAACAGGGAGCUGCCUGACUCAGCACGGCCCUGCUGCCCACCCGAGCUUCCGCCCUGGGGGAGGCUUUGGAAGCACCGUGGAAGAGGCGACUGGACCAAGCGAGUUCUGCUCAUUCCCCACCUUCUCCACCAGGGAGACGCCACGUGGUCCAGGCUCCGGGGGCAGCACGUGCUUCCUUUCCACCGGCCGGUGUUGUCCUUGGCCAGGCCCGGAGGAGUCAGCAGUUCUGGGGGCAAACGGGGGAAGCCGCCCGGCCACGACCUUCCCCUCCCUUCGCCCAGGGUUUGGAGGUCUGCGCUUCUCCCCGCCCGGGCCCAACGGCAGGAGUUCAGCUGAGAAACGAGGCCGCGCACAGUGUCCCUGGGGCUGACGAGGUCACCAGGUCCCUCGGAGACGUGCCCUCCCCGGGGCUGGUGGUCUUCCUGCGCGCACCUGGCGGGAAGAUGGUCCAGGUGCAGCUGUCACCGGGAACCAAGCCAACACUCUCCAUCUCACUCUCUGAUCAGACUGUGAAGUGCGGUUUGUGAGGGUGGAUGUUAAAGCCAAGCCGACAAGUGUGUCAAGAAAGGCCGGGCCCGCACUCAGCCCAGGGUGCACCUCCUUGGACACGGUGCCCGAUCGCGGCGGCAGGCCGAGGUCUCGGGGAGCCGGCGUGACGGCCCGACGUCAUGCGCCGUGAGCUCAGCCUUGAACCCAGGUGAGGCUCGGGUGCCUUCUCCCGGGACGGCGGGUGGAGGAAAUGCGUUUUGAGUGGUUUAAAACCUCUGUCAUCUGAAAGUGAAAACAGCCCAAAUGGCCAUCAACUGACGAGCAAAUACAGGCAACACGUCCAAACGGGACACUGACCGGGUGGGGGCUGCACGCUCCAGUGCGGGUGGACGCGGAAACCACGCUCGGGGCGAAGGAGGUCAGCGAAGGGGCCAGAUGCUGUGCGAUUCCGUCCGCGAAGCACCCAGGCCAGGCCGGUCCACAGAGACAGAAAGCAG
This is a long non-coding RNA of Camelus dromedarius (Arabian camel), 3087 nucleotides long. RefSeq lists it as uncharacterized. The record is from RefSeq and is a predicted model, not a curated record. The transcript is spliced from 3 exons. Lineage: Eukaryota; Metazoa; Chordata; Mammalia; Artiodactyla; Camelidae.